CGAGCAUUCCUUGUCCGAAAGGGCCGGGUAAUCUUGGAAUUGUAUGUCGUGAUACGGAUAGAUUAUUGCACUUAUCAAUCUUGAUCGAGGAAUUCCUAGUAAAUGCGAGUCAUCAGCUCGCGUUGAUUACGUCCCUGCCCUUUGUACACACCGCCCGUCGCACCUACCGAUUGAAUGAUUCGGUGAAACUUUCGGACUGACGUGAAGGGGCCCUCGGGCAACUUCUUGUUGGGAAAUAUUUAAACCUCACCAUUUAGAGGAAGGGGAAGUCGUAACAAGGUUUCCGUAGGUGAACCUGCGGAAGGAUCAUUACCA
This 315-nucleotide ribosomal RNA is filed under the name Apoikiospumella mondseeiensis. RNAcentral describes it as "bacterial SSU rRNA". It matches the Rfam family "Eukaryotic small subunit ribosomal RNA", at positions 1516 to 1831 of the family's 1831-position model. Lineage: Eukaryota; Chrysophyceae; Apoikiales; Apoikiaceae. The record is from RNAcentral.